UGGGGAAUAUUGCACAAUGGGCGCAAGCCUGAUGCAGCAACGCCGCGUGAGGGAUGACGGCCUUCGGGUUGUAAACCUCUUUUAGCAGGGAAGAAGCGAAAGUGACGGUACCUGCAGAAAAAGCGCCGGCUAACUACGUGCCAGCAGCCGCGGUAAUACGUAGGGCGCAAGCGUUAUCCGGAAUUAUUGGGCGUAAAGAGCUCGUAGGCGGUUUGUCGCGUCUGCUGUGAAAUCCCGAGGCUCAACCUCGGGUCUGCAGUGGGUACGGGCAGACUAGAGUGCGGUAGGGGAGAUUGGAAUUCCUGGUGUAGCGGUGGAAUGCGCAGAUAUCAGGAGGAACACCGAUGGCGAAGGCAGAUCUCUGGGCCGUAACUGACGCUGAGGAGCGAAAGGGUGGGGAGCAAACAGGCUUAGAUACCCUGGUAGUCCACCCCGUAAACGUUGGGAACUAGUUGUGGGGUCCAUUCCACGGAUUCCGUGACGCAGCUAACGCAUUAAGUUCCCCGCCUGGGGAGUACGGCCGCAAGGCU
This 530-nucleotide ribosomal RNA is filed under the name uncultured bacterium. RNAcentral describes it as "partial 16S ribosomal RNA". It matches the Rfam family "Bacterial small subunit ribosomal RNA", at positions 355 to 895 of the family's 1533-position model. The record is from RNAcentral.